UACGGGGGGUGCGAGCGUUGUCCGGAAUCACUGGGCGUAAAGGGCGCGUAGGCGGCCUGGUAAGUCUGUGGUGAAAGCCCGGAGCUCAACUGCGGGUCUGCCGCGGAUACUGCGAGGCUUGAGUGCUGUAGAGGGGGGUAGAAUGCCGGGUGUAGCGGUGGAAUGCGUAGAGAUCCGGCAGAAGACCGGUGGCGAAGGCGGCCCCCUGGGCAGUAACUGACACUGAGGCGCGACAGCGUGGGGAGCAAACAGG
This 253-nucleotide ribosomal RNA is filed under the name uncultured bacterium. Its description in RNAcentral is "partial 16S ribosomal RNA". It matches the Rfam family "Bacterial small subunit ribosomal RNA", at positions 524 to 776 of the family's 1533-position model. The record is from RNAcentral.